GACGAACGCUGGCGGCGUGCCUAAUACAUGCAAGUUGAGCGCUGAAGGCUGGUACUUGUACCAACUGGAUGAGCAGCGAACGGGUGAGUAACGCGUGGGGAAUCUGCCUUUGAGCGGGGGACAACAUUUGGAAACGAAUGCUAAUACCGCAUAAAAACUUUAAACACAAGUUUUAAGUUUGAAAGAUGCAAUUGCAUCACUCAAAGAUGAUCCCGCGUUGUAUUAGCUAGUUGGUGAGGUAAAGGCUCACCAAGGCGAUGAUACAUAGCCGACCUGAGAGGGUGAUCGGCCACAUUGGGACUGAGACACGGCCCAAACUCCUACGGGAGGCAGCAGUAGGGAAUCUUCGGCAAUGGACGAAAGUCUGACCGAGCAACGCCGCGUGAGUGAAGAAGGGUUUCGGAUCGUAAAACUCUGUUGGUAGAGAAGAACGUUGGUGAGAGUGGAAAGCUCAUCAAGUGACGGUAACUACCCAGAAAGGGACGGCUAACUACGUG
Molecule: ribosomal RNA, 497 nt
Filed under: uncultured bacterium
Lineage: Bacteria
Description: partial 16S ribosomal RNA
Rfam family: Bacterial small subunit ribosomal RNA
Source: RNAcentral